GAUGAACGCUGGCGGCGUGCCUAAUACAUGCCAGUCGAGCGAACGGACGAGAAGCUUGCUUCUCUGAUGUUAGCGGCGGACGGGUGAGUAACACGUGGAUAACCUACCUAUAAGACUGGGAUAACUUCGGGAAACCGUAGCUAAUACCGGAUAAUAUUUUGAACCGCAUGGUUCAAAAGUGAAAGACGGUCUUGCUGUCACUUAUAGAUGGAUCCGCGCUGCAUUAGCUAGUUGGUAAGGUAACGGCUUACCAAGGCAACGAUGCAUAGCCGACCUGAGAGGGUGAUCGGCCACACUGGAACUGAGACACGGCCCAGACUCCUACGGGAGGCAGCAGUAGGGAAUCUUCCGCAAUGGGCGAAAGCCUGACGGAGCAACGCCGCGUGAGUGAUGAAGGUCUUCGGAUCGUAAAACUCUGCUAUUAGGGAAGAACAUAUGUGUAAGUAACUGUGCACAUCUUGACGGUACCUAAUCAGAAAGCCACGGCUAACUACGUG
Molecule: ribosomal RNA, 497 nt
Filed under: uncultured bacterium
Lineage: Bacteria
Description: partial 16S ribosomal RNA
Rfam family: Bacterial small subunit ribosomal RNA
Source: RNAcentral